GUAGACGAGUCCGUGCGCAACGGAUGGCUUCGAGGUAAAGUGGUGAAGACUUAUCCAGGACGAGACGGACAAGUUCACGAGGUCGACGUGGAUACUUGCGACGGAUCUACUCUUCAAAGACCAGCGGUAAAGGUUGCUCUGUUGGACGUGCAGGAGGAGAGUAAAGUCGAUUGACUACGACGUUACGGGUUGGGGUGUUAGCACAACUGGCAACCUUGGUACGGGAUCGGACAAACGUCAACGCGUUGGCGCCGAAAAGGAAUUGUCAUUGUGAGAAAAUUGAUCGAAACUGCGACACGUUUUUUCUUGACCUGGCAGUUAGUUAGUUUUUAGUGAAUAGUUUUAGAGAAAACAUAGGUGGAAUCUAUUUGGCUAGUUGCGCGUGAUUUGAGUGCUCGCGGGUUUGUGAGUCGGAAGAGUUUGAGUGACCGUUCGGUUGUUCCGGUUAGGUGUACCGGGUUGAGCUCAAUUAGAGCGGUAGGAAAGAAAAAGCGUAAGUAAGCAAGAAUACUUGUUCUGUACCCGAUGAUAAAUAUGAUUUUCGUCCAUUAGCUUCAAAUAGCCGGUGAUAUCCGACGGUUUAGAGUUGCCAGAGCUAGAGCUUAGGGUAAACGGCGAAACUUAUUUGUAAGUUCAUAAAAGAUUGUUUACAUUCAUCAUUUAAUAAUAAAAUGUAUUUACAGUCGAGUUCGUUCGCAUACAACGUACUACGGAACAGUUUUUAUUUCCCACAUUUAUAGAGGACAUAACCAACUUGGUCAUUCGUCCUCUCAACAAGAGUCUGUUCUUUGAAAUAGAUUGAUUAGGAUUGAAGUUUUAAAAGGCCGAAUGAACUAUUUGAUUUUUUGCAAACGUAAAUUCAAGUUAUCAAUAAAAUAAUCUACUAUUUAAUAACAACAAGUGAGGAUAUGCAU
Molecule: long non-coding RNA, 914 nt
Organism: Uranotaenia lowii
Lineage: Eukaryota; Metazoa; Arthropoda; Insecta; Diptera; Culicidae
Exons: 3
Source: RefSeq, a predicted model, not a curated record